UACGUAGGGUGCGAGCGUUAAUCGGAAUUACUGGGCGUAAAGCGUGCGCAGGCGGUUUUGUAAGCCAGAUGUGAAAUCCCCGGGCUUAACCUGGGAAUGGCAUUUGGGACUGCAAGGCUUGAGUUUGGCAGAGGAGACUGGAAUUCCUGGUGUAGCAGUGAAAUGCGUAGAGAUGUGGAGGAACACCGAUGGCGAAGGCAGGUCUCUGGGCCACUACUGACGCUGAGAAGCGAAAAGCAUGGGGAGCGAACAGGG
Molecule: ribosomal RNA, 255 nt
Filed under: uncultured bacterium
Lineage: Bacteria
Description: partial 16S ribosomal RNA
Rfam family: Bacterial small subunit ribosomal RNA
Source: RNAcentral